This 345-nucleotide unclassified non-coding RNA is filed under the name soil metagenome. RNAcentral's name for it is "partial contains 5.8S ribosomal RNA, internal transcribed spacer 2, and large subunit ribosomal RNA". The stretch from base 1 to 120 matches the Rfam family "5.8S ribosomal RNA", at positions 35 to 154 of the family's 154-position model. The record is from RNAcentral.
GAUGAAGAACGUAGCGAAAUGCGAUACGUAAUAUGAAUUGCAGAAUUCAGUGAAUCAUCGAGUCUUUGAACGCACAUUGCGCCCCCUGGUAUUCCGGGGGGCAUGCCUGUCCGAGCGUCAUUGCUGCCCUCAAGCACGGCUUGUGUGUUGGGCCUCCGUCCUCCUCCCGGGGGACGGGCCCGAAAGGCAGCGGCGGCACCGCGUCCGGUCCUCGAGCGUAUGGGGCUUCGUCACCCGCUCUUGUAGGCCCGGCCGGCGCUUGCCGACACAUCAAUCUUUUUUCCAGGUUGACCUCGGAUCAGGUAGGGAUACCCGCUGAACUUAAGCAUAUCAAUAAGCGGAGGA